GCCGGGUGUGGUGGCGCGUGCCUGUAAUCCCAGCUACUGGGGAGGCUGAGGCAGGAGAAUCACUUGAACCUGGGAGGUGGAGGUUGCAGUGAGCCAAGAUUGUGCCACUGCACUCCAGCCUGGGUGACAGAGCGAGACUCUGUUUCAA
Unclassified non-coding RNA from Pongo abelii (Sumatran orangutan), 148 nucleotides. It matches the Rfam family "Metazoan signal recognition particle RNA". Rfam says of the family: The signal recognition particle (SRP) is a universally conserved ribonucleoprotein. It is involved in the co-translational targeting of proteins to membranes. Lineage: Eukaryota; Metazoa; Chordata; Mammalia; Primates; Hominidae. The record is from Ensembl.